ACAUUAGCUCCACAUGCUGUUUGUACUUACGCCAUGCAUCGGGUAAGUUUGUAGACUCGAGAUUCGAGGUGAAGGAAUCCAUAUUUUAAGACCUUUUACUCAGACACCAUGUCUUGUUUUGCACACUUUGUACAAAAUAAUAAAUUGCAGUUCUACAGGAUAUUUCUUAACAUAGCUCUUUAUUAGCUAGCUAUAACUGGCAUGUUCACGUAUAGCCAACCAGGAUCACCCUGACCAUGACCUAACCAUUUGAGUGGUCUAAAUCAAUCAUAGCACAGUAUGAGAUGGCGGUAAAAUGCAUCCAAUUACAAUUCAGUAUGUUUACACAUAUGAAUAUUACAAUAACAAUUUAAGGACCAGAAAACUGACAGCUGUGCAAUUUUCACAUUGCUCUUUUGACUAAAACAAGCUAAUGUUAGCUGGCAAAGUUAGCAAAGCUAACAAAGGUAGCUAACGUGAAUAUUUGAAUCCUGUUAAUUUGCUAAUUAUGGUCUCUUCUGUUUUAAUAGCUGGCAGUAAGGGAUCGACACAUUAAUGCUGGUGAGGAGGACAUGUAUGUGCCGCAAGAAAAUAAGAACAGUCUGCUGGUCAGGCAGCUGAGAUUAAGGUACACAUUUUGAAGGUGGAGUUGCAAAUCCGUACUGGACUGAAAGAGGCAUAAAUUGUUAGAUACACCAGACAUUAGAGAUGU
Molecule: long non-coding RNA, 691 nt
Organism: Oncorhynchus nerka (sockeye salmon)
Lineage: Eukaryota; Metazoa; Chordata; Actinopteri; Salmoniformes; Salmonidae
Exons: 3
Source: RefSeq, a predicted model, not a curated record